CCUACGGUUGGCAGCAGUGGGGAAUAUUGCACAAUGGGGGAAACCCUGAUGCAGCGACGCCGCGUGAGCGAUGAAGUAUUUCGGUAUGUAAAGCUCUAUCAGCAGGGAAGAAAAUGACGGUACCUGACUAAGAAGCCCCGGCUAACUACGUGCCAGCAGCCGCGGUAAUACGUAGGGGGCAAGCGUUAUCCGGAUUUACUGGGUGUAAAGGGAGCGUAGAGGGCGGUGCAAGCCAGAUGUGAAAGCCCGGGGCUCAACCCCGGGACUGCAUUUGAAACUGGGCUGCUAGAGUGUCGGAGAGGCAGGCGGAAUGCCUGGUGUAGCGGUGAAAUGCGUAGAUAUUGGGAAGAACACCAGUGGCGAAGGCGGCCUGCUGGACGAUGACUGACGUUGAGGCUCGAAAGCGUGGGGAGCGAACAGGAUUAGAUACCCUAGUAGUC
This 440-nucleotide ribosomal RNA is filed under the name uncultured bacterium. Its description in RNAcentral is "partial 16S ribosomal RNA". It matches the Rfam family "Bacterial small subunit ribosomal RNA", at positions 338 to 795 of the family's 1533-position model. The record is from RNAcentral.